CAAAAUGGGAGGUAAAUUUUUCCUAAGGCUAAAUAUUGGCGAGAGACCGAUAGCGAACAAGUACUGUGAGGGAAAGAUGAAAAGAACUUUGAAAAGAGAGUUAAACAGUACAUGAAAUUGUUGAAAGGAAACGAUUGAAGUCAGUCAUACCAACGGGAAAUCAACCUUUUGAGCUUGGUUUCGUGGGUUUUGAAGAGUUUCAAAGCCUUCGGAUUCGCGAGAUUGGGAUCUCUUGGUGUAAUUUUUCGUACGGUAGUCAACAUCGGUUUUGAAUGUCAUAAAAAGACUGGAGGAAUGUAGCUUCGAUCUCGUAUUGAAGUGUUAUAGCCUUUGGUAGAUGAGAUGUUUGAGACCGAGGAUUGCAACGGAUACCCUUCAGGGUUUCGUCUGAUCUCUGAUACGUUGCCUUGAUGUUGAAAGCUUGCUUAUGAUGUUAGGGUAUUACGGUCAAAAGGUUAGAACGAAUUACA
Molecule: ribosomal RNA, 470 nt
Filed under: Funneliformis mosseae
Lineage: Eukaryota; Fungi; Glomeromycota; Glomeromycetes; Glomerales; Glomeraceae
Description: partial large subunit ribosomal RNA
Rfam family: Eukaryotic large subunit ribosomal RNA
Source: RNAcentral